Molecule: non-coding RNA, 21 nt
Filed under: Arabidopsis thaliana (thale cress)
Lineage: Eukaryota; Viridiplantae; Streptophyta; Magnoliopsida; Brassicales; Brassicaceae
Source: RNAcentral
AGAAAGAGUCGGCUACAUGCA